Molecule: signal recognition particle RNA, 254 nt
Filed under: Gambusia affinis (western mosquitofish)
Lineage: Eukaryota; Metazoa; Chordata; Actinopteri; Cyprinodontiformes; Poeciliidae
Description: Metazoan signal recognition particle RNA (ENSGAFG00000020912.1)
Rfam family: Metazoan signal recognition particle RNA
About the family: The signal recognition particle (SRP) is a universally conserved ribonucleoprotein. It is involved in the co-translational targeting of proteins to membranes. The eukaryotic SRP consists of a 300-nucleotide 7S RNA and six proteins: SRPs 72, 68, 54, 19, 14, and 9.
Source: RNAcentral
GCCGGUGGCGCCUGUAAUCCAAGAUACCGGGAGGCUGAAGCUGGCGGAUCGUUUGAGCUCAGGAGCCCUGAGCUGCAGUGGACUAUGCCGAUCGGUUGUCCGCACUAAGUUCGGUAUCGAAAUGGUGCUCCAGGGGGAACCCGGGACCACCAGGUCGGGAACAGAGCAGGUUAAAGGCCCCGUGCUGCUCAGCGGUGGGAUCGCGCCUGUGAAUAGACGCUGUAGCGCAGCCUGAGUAAUACAGAGAAACUCAA